UUAUAUCCUUAUCGUAGGUUAGUGUAUGGUUAGAAUUUCCCUUUCUAAAUCAUACCUUGAAUUGUACCUUGUAAGUUUAAAGUUACUCCAACAUAAAAAUUAUAAAGUAAGGAAAUCAUGCAAUAAAAGUUGUAAUUUGGGUUACAAUUUGAUAUACAAAACAUUUUAUAUUAGUAGGAUUUGAGAAAGGGUUGUAGACAUGCAUAUUCUACUUUAAAAUGCAAGUAUUAUUGACUGUUUUCACAACUUACAUUUGUAACCUAUAAAUUACACAAUUAAAAUUUUACUGUUACUAUUCUUGAAUGAAAAGUAACUAAUUUUAGUGAAACUUAUUCUUGUUCAAUAUUCAUUGAUGAAAUUAGGCCUAAUUGUAUGAAAAUUUCUUGUGAUUCCCCUUCUUUAUUUUAGACUGUCUAAAAUUUUAUGACUGCUACAACAGUGGUUGAUGGCACUAGAUAAUGGAGAAGAAUCCAACUUUAAAAAUUAAUUUAUUAUGAAAAAUGCUUUUAAUCAAAAGUAUUUUUUUAAAUAACGAUUUAGGUUUGCUUAAUCAAUUUGAAAGGUUUUCUUUAGUAGUAUUAGACAAUAAUUUGUAUUCGGAUAAUGUUGAAUGCUUCU
This 618-nucleotide long non-coding RNA is filed under the name Solanum tuberosum (potato). Its description in RNAcentral is "long non-coding RNA (STUB_LNC010389)". Lineage: Eukaryota; Viridiplantae; Streptophyta; Magnoliopsida; Solanales; Solanaceae. The record is from RNAcentral.